Molecule: transfer RNA, 542 nt
Filed under: uncultured cyanobacterium
Lineage: Bacteria; Bacillati; Cyanobacteriota
Description: partial 16S-23S ribosomal RNA intergenic spacer
Rfam family: tRNA (bases 212-284)
Source: RNAcentral
CAGGGAGACAACAAAAUGUUUAAUAUUAAUUUUGUCACCUUAGGUCGAUCGGUAUCUCACAUUCUUAAUUUAUUAAGAAUUUUAUUUCCUAAGUUUUUUCUAGGUCACACCCAAUUACUUUUCCUGGGCCAUUAGCUCAGGUGGUUAGAGCGCACCCCUGAUAAGGGUGAGGUCCCUGGUUCAAGUCCAGGAUGGCCCAUAUCUCUAUGUUGGGGGUAUAGCUCAGUUGGUAGAGCGCCUGCUUUGCAAGCAGGAUGUCAGCGGUUCGAGUCCGCUUACCUCCACUGAUCACCACCUCUUCCAUAAUUUGUAGAAGGGAAAUGUAUUGAGUUGUGAUCAAAUUCUGAACGAAUCUAGCUUCCUAAUUAACUCAAUUAAGAUGCUGGACUCAUUGAAUUAUUUUCAUUGUUUUCAGAGAACCUUGACAACUGCAUAGAUUAUUUUAAAGACAAUAAGCAUCUUUAAUGAUGCAGAUUUAUUAUUUGUGCGAAUGCAUUAAAUAACAAUUCUAUUAAGCUGAUGCUUCAAUUUUUGAAGUUAUU